Cherax quadricarinatus is the source of this 5166-nucleotide non-coding RNA. The record is from RefSeq and is a predicted model, not a curated record. NCBI's taxonomy places the organism in Eukaryota, Metazoa, Arthropoda, Malacostraca, Decapoda, Parastacidae.
AAAGUUUUUCAUAAUUCUGGUCAUGGUCUUGUGCGUCAGCCUUCGUCGGGUGUGGACGUCCCUCUCUCGCCUGAGUAUCAGUGACAAAUUUCCCCCGUUCUCACUGGGACGCUUGCCCUCAUCUAUUUUGCCCGCCGGGCACUCGACAGGAGGGGCACCUGUACAUCAGCUUACUUUUAGCCAGCUCCAUUUUUUCCGCUCUGAGGAAAAUUCUUUAACGGUCUUUCGUGGGAAGCCGGUUACUGAACUCAGGUGGGAGUGUGGGCGUCCCUCUCUGCUGGGGCUUGGCAAGGGCGUCCACCAGAUCUAAUUGGAAACUUCAAGUUUAUAUUUCUAUUUACAGAGGAACUUUUGUUCCUUUUCUUUCAUCGCCCAGCCUUGGGCAACAAUUUUUCCUCGUACCAUCGAGAAACCGGACUCGAUACGGCUUGUGCUCUCAGUGGCCCUGAUAAACCCAACAACAACAACAACAAUUCUGGUCAUUAUAUGAAGCUCUGGGGUAAUUACCACUGCAACGCUUAUUGUGAGAUCAUCCUGGUACCUAAGGCUGGUAGUUGUUGCACCAAUACUACACUUCAUCCUGGUACCUAAGGCUGGUACUUGUUGUACCAAUACUGCACUUCAUCCUGGUACCUGAGGCUGGUACUUGUUGUACCAGUACUACACUUCAUCCUGGUAGCAGAGGCUGGUACAGGUAGUACCAAUACUACACAUCAUCCUGGUAGCACAGGCUGGUAUUGGUAGUACCAAUAAUACAGUUCAUCCUGGUACCAUUGGUUGGUACUUGUAGUACCAAUACUACACUUCAUCCUGGUAACAGAGGCUGGCACUUGUAGUGCCAAUACUACAAGUCAUCCUGGUAGCAGAGUCUGGCACUUGUAGUGUCAAUACUACAAGUCAUCCUGGUAGCAGAGUCUGGCACUUGUAGUGUCAAUACUACAAGUCAUCCUGGUAGCAGAGUCUGGCACUUGUAGUACCAAUACUACAAGUCAUCCUGGUGGCAGAAUAAUUAUUCUUGUAGUGUUAAUUUUCGGUAUUUUAAGGCUCAGGGGUCAAAUACUGAAAUAUAUAUAAUGACAACACAGUGUUACUACAGUGUUAGAAAUGGAAUAUUUAUAGUAUCAACAUCAGUAUCAUGAAGUUGCUGUGUUAGGAUACUGUUACACAUCACCUUAACAUCCUACUGUUACACAUCACCUUAACAUCCUACUGUUACACAUCACCUUAACAUCCUACUGUUACACAUCACCUUAACAUCCUACUGUUACACAUCACCUUAACAUCCUGCUGUUAAACAUCACCUUAACAUCCUACUGUUACACAUCACCUUAACAUCCUACUGUUACACAUCACCUUAACAUCCUGCUGUUAAACAUCACCUUAACAUCCUGCUGUUAAACAUCACCUUAACAUCCUGCUGUUAAACAUCACCUUAACAUCCUGCUGUUAAACAUCACCUUAACAUCCUGCUGUUAAACAUCACAUUAGCAUCCUACAGUUAACACUCAUCAUUGUGUUAUGCACAACAUUAUCAUUGAUUGUAAUAAGAAUUUUUUUCAUAAUAUUUGUUGUUACAAAACUUUUGUGAAGACUUUAGCAAGAAACAUUUAAAUUCACGAAAAGUAGAUCUUUGUUAUUGACCCCAGUGCCUUGUAGAUCUUUGUUAUUGACCCCUGUGCCUUGUAGAUUUUGUUUUUGUCCCCAGUGUCUUGUAGAUCUUUCUUAUUGACCCUGGUGUGUUGUAGAUCUUUGUUAUUGACCCCAUGUCUUGUAGAUCUUUGUUAUUGGCCCCAGUGCCUUGUAGAUUUUGUUUUUGUCCCCAGUGUCUUGUAGAUCUUUGUUAUUGACCCCAGUGUCUUGUAAAUCUUUCUUAUUGACCCCGAUGUUUUGUAGAUCUUUGUUAUUGACCCCAGUGUCUUGUAGAUCUUUCUUAUUGACCCCAGUGUCUUGUAGAUCUACAUUAUUGAUGCAAGUGUCACUCAUGUAGAUUUACGUUUUAAGAACAGCACCUUCAAAUAUGUUGUGAGUAAUAAAUUUUGGCUUAAACCUGAGAAAAUGGGUCUGCACAAUAAUGUGCACUGUAUAAAAACGUUCUGUUAUGCAGUGCUUGAUUGGAAACCUCUGACUUUGUGUUUGGUUUAAAAUAGUGACAUUCAGGUAUUGUAUUAUAGGAUGGGUUUUUAUGGGUUUAUUGGCUGUUUCUUGGUACCAGUUGAUACAAUAAAAGUUAUAGUUUUGAAAUAGGGCUGGAAGUAGCUUGAAAUAGGGCUCAAAGUAAUAGAAAUAUUUAAGUUUUGAUAAUUUUUCUGAGGAAGGGUAGGUCCCCUUUUUCCCAAUCUGUUUUUUUUACUAGGUCUGCUUUAAUUAUUGGGUGCCCUAAACCUUGACACUCAUUCCAGUUAUAUUUUAAUAUAUAUGAAAUAGGAUAAUACUUUGAUAUUUUUUUUGAUGAUGGUUUCAAAAUGGAGGACAAGUGUAAGAUACCAGAGGCUGGAGGACAUGAUUGAUGAACAAGGGAUAGGUUAUUAGUUGCUGCACUGAAUAUACUGUUUAUUUUUUAUUCUUGUUUUAAUAUGUUUUCAAAUUAGAAUUUGUUUAAUUUCAAGUAAAAUUAGUUAAGUUACCAACUUCUGUGUAAUUUAAAUAGUGUGAAAUAGCUAAGAAUUCCUUCAGAAUGAGCAAUGGAAUUGGCUUGAAAUAGGACUUAAAGUGGGAAAAAUUCACUGAUUCAUAAAUUGCAAUCAGACUGCCGGCUUUGCAUCUACAUAAUUCCAUACGUUGUUUAUCAAAUUUCAUGUUGUUGGUGUUAUUAUCUUAAGAAAAAUAUUCUUUAUUAGAAGCAUUUUUUUUAAAUCUCAGCACUUUCAGUAUUUUUAAUUUUGUGGUUCUGACAUAGAAAAGGUUAAGUCAUUGUUCACUAUGUCUAAAAUACUUGAACAAAAAUGUGUUCAAGCCACAAACAUAGUUGCACAAAAAUCUCAGUGUGUAUCACUGAUAGCAGUUAAUAAAGACAAGAAAACAGUUCAGUGCUCAGUGUGUUUUAAAGAGUUUUCUAAAAAGAAAUAUUUAAUGAGACAUAUAAGUAUUCAUAGCAGAGAGAAACAACAGUGUUGUGUGUGUCUAAAAAUCUUUUUACAUGAAUCUCAGUUGAUAAAACACAUGAAAAUUCACACUGAAGUGAAACCAUAUCAAUGUUCAGAGUGUCUCAAAGAAUUGUCAGAUAAAUCUAGCUUAGUAAGACACAAGAAAAUUCAUAUUGGAGAGAGAUAUCAAUGCUCAGAGUGUCUAAAAGAGUUUUCCAUAAAAUCUUACUUAGUACAACACAUGAGAAUUCAUACCAAUGAGAAACCAUAUCAGUGUUCAGAGUGUCUAAAAGAGUUUUCCGUAAAAUCUUAUUUAGUACAACACAUGAGAAUUCAUAUUGAAAAGAAACCAUAUCAGUGUUCAGAGUGUGUAAAAAAAUUUACAGAUAAAUCUAGUUUAGUAAGACACAUGAAAAUUCAUACUGGAGAGAAACCAUAUCAAUGCUCAGAGUGUCUAAAAAAGUUUUCCAUAAAACCUCAUUUAGUACAACAUGUGAGAAUUCAUACUGGAGAGAAACCAUAUCAGUGCUCAGAGUGUCUUAAAGAAUUUUCAGAUAACUCGGGUUUAGUAAGACAUGUAAGAAUUCAUACUGGAGAGAAACCAUAUCAGUGCUCAGAGUGUCUUAAAGAAUUUUCAGAUAAAUUUCGUUUAGCAGAACACACAAGAAUUCAUACUGGAGAGAAACCAUAUCAAUGUUCAGAGUGUCUAAAAAAGUUUACCAUAAAAUCUACUUUAGUAAAUCAUAUGAGAAUUCAUACUGGAGAGAAACCAUAUCAAUGUUUAGAGUGUCUAAAAGAAUUUGCCAGAAAAUCUUAUUUAGUACUACACAUGAGAAUUCAUUCAAAAGAGAAGCUUUUAGGUGUUCAGAAUGUCUGAAGGAGUUAUCAUGUAAUUAUAAUUUAGUGAAAUACCUGAGACUUCAUACUUGUUAGAAGUCAUAUCACUCUUCAAUUUCUAAAUGUUUUCUCACAAUGAUUUUCUCACAAGGAUCCUUGAUGCCUGUAAGGGGCCUUUGAUCCAAGAAACUGACAUUAUCAUCCCUUUUCUGGGAUUAGAUAUGAUUGCCUCCUAUUUCCCCGGCAGUGUAUGACCCUAUUGGACCAAUCACAACCUUCUGUGAGUCGCUCCAGCUAAGGGAUGAUGGUGUCUGCUUGCUUCCCAUUGGUUGAGAGACCAAAAUGUAAGCACUUCUAGCUUGGCGUCGUCAACAGCAGUUUUUUCCUCCAGUUAUACUCAUAUACUCUGAGUAUACUGAGAGUUUACCCUCUGCAGUGUUGAUCAAUGAGCAAUUGUUUUAUGGUGAGCCCUCCAAAGAGAAGUCCAAAUAUGUCUGCAUUUAUGGAGGAAAGUGACUCAGAUCAAGAGCCAGAUGAUCUGGAAUUGGUUGACCAUGGUGAUGAAUACUUGCCACUGGAUUCAGGGGUGUCAAGUGAUGAUGAGGAGGAAGACAGACCUUCCAAAAAGCCUAAAUUAGCCCAGAAAAAGAAAGGUAUUACAAUCGAGGAGUACCCUGAUGAAGAUCUUCAUGAUGAGCUUGCUCUUCAAGCUCAGAUACAUUGGAACCAGAAAGACAUCCAAAAUGACCCUUUGACUGUAUACCAACAUGAAAAGCCUCUUGAAAUUAGCUGUCCAUUUGAUUGUUUUAGCAAGUUUUUUACUCAAAAUAUGAUAGACAACAUCACAUAUCAAACAAAUUUGUAUGCCAAACAAAAAAACAUUAAUACUACUUUGUAACUGAUUCUGAAGAAAUAAAGUUCAAGUUCAUCGGUAUUCUGUUGUUUAUGGGUAUUUGUCCAUACCCAUCUCUAGAUGACUAUUGGGCAGGUGCAGCUAAGGUACCCCACAUCACAGAAGUCAUGUCAUUUAAGAGGUUUAGGUUGCUUAGGCGUACAAUUCAUUUCAAUGAUAAAACCCAAAAGGAUAAUGACAUAUUCCACAAAGUAAGGUAUUACAACCCAGGAACAAAAAAGGCUUGUUAUCCUGGGUGUAAAGGGAGCAAAAUAUACACAACUGAAUGACUGACUUAUAUUAUCCUUCAAGUGUAAACAGCAGUAUGUACACUAUAUUCACUAUGUAUAGCAA